AUCAUUGUUUCUGUAAAUGCU
RNAcentral lists this small nuclear RNA (21 nucleotides) under Arabidopsis thaliana (thale cress). RNAcentral describes it as "snRNA_05054". The record is from RNAcentral. Lineage: Eukaryota; Viridiplantae; Streptophyta; Magnoliopsida; Brassicales; Brassicaceae.